CUACAGAGGGUGCAAGCGUUAUUCGGAAUUACUGGGCGUAAGGCGCGCGCAGGCGGCCGUUUAAGUUGGAUGUGAAAGCCUACGGCUCAACCGUAGAACUGCAUCCAAAACUAUUUGGCUAGAGUGUGGGAGAGGAAGAUGGAAUUAGUUGUGUAGGGGUAAAAUCCGUAGAGAUAACUAGGAAUACCAAAAGCGAAGGCAAUCUUCUGGAACACUACUGACGCUGAGGCGCGAAAGCGUGGGGAGCAAACGGGAUUAGAAACCCUAGUAGUCC
This 274-nucleotide ribosomal RNA is filed under the name uncultured bacterium. RNAcentral describes it as "partial 16S ribosomal RNA". It matches the Rfam family "Bacterial small subunit ribosomal RNA", at positions 523 to 796 of the family's 1533-position model. The record is from RNAcentral.